UUUCAAAAACGCCCAGCAGAGACUUUGUUCUCUGGUUAAAUCUCACAAAGAGAAGUUUGAACAAGCAUAGCAAGCUUAGAAAGGCAAAAUAUAAAAUAUAUGGUUCGAGUAUUAAAGGCAUACCAGGAAGUGAAAUGGAGCAAAAUCCUGUGUUCUAGGAAAUAACAGAUUAAGGGAGUGGCACCUUGGGGCAAGAUCCUACCCAGCCCCAAUUACCACCUUUAAUCCCAGGAGACGGGCAUGCUGAUCUCUGCAUUCCAGGACAAUCUGCAGAGCAAGAUCCAGGAUAGCCAAGUUUAGGCAGUGAAGGAUUUGGAAAGCAUAAAGCCAGUGAUAAUGUAAUAGUACAAGGGGUUCAUGUUCUAGGUCCUGCAAGCAGCAGAACUCGGCAGCUUCAGCCAUGUGGCUCUGGCUCUACAGUUAAAAAUGAAAAGAACUGCUGGGUCAGUUGAAGCUGGUUAGCUGGAGCUAAGAAUUAGCAGUGAUUGAGACCAGCAUCACUAAGGUGAAAUCUUCUGGGAACUGUUUUCUGGGAGCACAAAGAAGUUAUGUUCCAGAGAUAGCCAAGGUUGUACCUCGUGCUGCAGCUGGAUUUGGUAAUGUGUAAGAGUCAUCCAGGUGAUACUUGUUUUGAAGGCAUGAAGGUGUCAUGAAGAACAGCUGAGGUUUGGCACUGUGAGAGGUCAUGGAAGGCCAUUGGAGAAGGUGUAGCCUCAGCUAUAGUUGGACUGAAGGGUUCAUGCAAAGGAUUUGAUGCUUGGCACCAGGAAGAGAGCCAUUGAGAGGCUAUUGAUGAAGCCUAGUUGAGGGGAAUACCCCACUGUACUGGAGAUGUCAGUACCAUGGGAUGAUCACCAAGAACAGCAGCCAUAGUGGAGUGGAUCAACCUGAGCAUAGAGUGCUACAGGGGGCAGAAAUGGAGAAGUGUUGCCAGCCCUUAGGAGGUGUCCAAAAGAUCAAGUGGAAUCCCAGACACUGAAACAAGAAGUUGUAACAAUGAAAUUGCCUUGGAGACUCAAAGAUGUUAAAUAUGACAGAGUCAUGGGAUACAUGCUGAGGAAAGCUGCUAACAGGAAGUGGAACCAGCCCAGGGGAAAGCAGUUUGUUGCAAUCAACAAAAAUGAAAAAGAAGUGAAGAUCUGAAGACUGCUUUGACAUCAGCCACGGAGAUGCAGGGUUUGGAAUUUGCCCAGCUAGUUUCCUAUCGUUCUUUGGGGAUUACAGUUAAGUGAUUGGAUGAAUCUCAGAAGAGACCUUGAACUUUGGAUUUUUAACAUUGUUGAGACUGCUAUAGACUAUGAGGACUUUAAAAGUUGGACUAAAUGCAUUUUGCAUUAUGCUAUGUUUAAGUAUGGCCCCUCCCAUAGACUCAUAUGUUUGAACAAGUCUAUAGGGGCCAGGGAGUGGAAUGUGAUGGUUUUUAUAUUCUUGGGCCAGGGAGUGGCACCAUUUGGAGGUGUGACCUGGUUGGAGUAGGUGUCUCUGUGGGUGUGGGAAUAAGAUCCUCACCCUAGUUGCCUGGAAAUCAGUCUUCCAGUAGCAGCCUUUGGAUGAAGAUGUAGAACUCUCAGCUCUGCCUGUGCCAUGCCUGCCUGGAUGCUGCCAUGCUCCCACCUUGAUGAUAAAGGACUGAACUUCUGAACCUACAGAAGCCUAGCAUGGCUGUCAUCUGAGAAGCUCUGCUAGCAACUAACUGAAACUGAUGCAGAUACUUAACAGCCAAACAUUGGACUGAAGUUGGGACCCCCGUGGAAGAGAUAGAAGAAAGAUUGAAGGAGCAGAAGCAGAUGGCAACGCUAUAGGAAGACCAACAGUGUCUACUAAUAUGGUCUCCUGGGAGCUCCCAGAGACUAAGCUACCAACCAAAGAGUGUACAUAGGCUGUUGCUAGGUAACUGGGAAGAGUUUAGCCUGAAGGUCAGAAGCUUGGGACAUUGUCUACAGGACUACUAGCCAUGCCUCUCCUGUGGGGGCUGUGGGGGCAGUAACUUCAACAGGAGCCUUGAGUCCAGGAGACAUGCGGGAACUCCUUCCGUCCCAUGUAGGUGAAUUAUCACUAUCACUGGGUUUCUCCGAGGUUCAGAUCUCAUCUUGACUGGAGACCAGGCUGUCUGGUCUCAGUGGGAGAGGAUGGGCCUAAACUUGUAGGGAC
RNAcentral lists this long non-coding RNA (2151 nucleotides) under Mus musculus (house mouse). RNAcentral's name for it is "predicted gene, 47414". The record is from RNAcentral. Lineage: Eukaryota; Metazoa; Chordata; Mammalia; Rodentia; Muridae.